GGCUCGGUAGCUUAGUUGGUGAAGCACUCGUCUGGCAUACAAGAAUCCUGGGUUUGAGUCACAUCUGAGCUC
Molecule: non-coding RNA, 72 nt
Organism: Aedes aegypti (yellow fever mosquito)
Lineage: Eukaryota; Metazoa; Arthropoda; Insecta; Diptera; Culicidae
Source: Rfam